RNAcentral lists this ribosomal RNA (254 nucleotides) under uncultured bacterium. RNAcentral's name for it is "partial 16S ribosomal RNA". It matches the Rfam family "Bacterial small subunit ribosomal RNA", at positions 524 to 776 of the family's 1533-position model. The record is from RNAcentral.
UACAGAGGGUGCAAGCGUUAAUCGGAAUUACUGGGCGUAAAGCGCACGUAGGUGGUCACUUAAGUCAGGUGUGAAAUCCCCGGGCUCAACCUGGGAAUGGCAUUUGAUACUGGGUGUCUAGAGUACGUUAGAGGGAAGUGGAAUUUCCGGUGUAGCGGUGAAAUGCGUAGAUAUCGGAAGGAACAUCAGUGGCGAAGGCGACUUCCUGGAAUAAUACUGACACUGAGGAGCGAAAAGCGUGGGGAGCGAACAGG